GCACUGCUGAAGAGUCCUAUACUAGGAUGAAACAACUGUCCAGUGU
Molecule: non-coding RNA, 46 nt
Filed under: Schistosoma haematobium
Lineage: Eukaryota; Metazoa; Platyhelminthes; Trematoda; Strigeidida; Schistosomatidae
Source: RNAcentral